CGUUGAGAGGGACGCUGCACUCGGACCCGGCGGCAGGCGCGUGAACACAGCGUGCGGCUCCUGGGAGUCGAACGGGCACGCUGACAACUCGGCAUCGGCAGUGGGUCGAGAAAGCCAUCCGCACCAUCCAUGCUGGGAACAGCUGAGGCGAGGGACCUACAGGUGGCGGCAAGAAGCGGGGAGCCGUGAUACACCUGCAGGGGAGUGUCGACCGCCCGGUCGUCUGUGCCGCGUUCCUGCAGCGCUCGGUGCGGUGCCCGGAGGACAGCGACCGGACGGCCGAAGCAGCGCUGACGGCGAUGGUCGUGUGCCUCACCUGGGGCUGCCAGGCCCCCGCGGCAGCCCUGUGCGCACCCCCGGUGCUGGGCCCGCCCCAGCCUCCGCCGCAGACGACCGCCACAACGUUCUGCUCCGUGAUCCCCAUCCAUCCCUGGAAGCAGUCAUAUGGCAUGGAGCAAGUGUGGCAGGCCGAGUUCCAGAAGCUGUUCUCGCAGUACGUGCCCCAGACGUGGUACCUGCUGCCGGUCGUGCAGCGCCCCAUCGGCGUCAACUGGCAGACGUUCGUCGACUCGGCCAAAGUGCGCUUCUGCUGCGAGGAAUGCGGCCACGGCUGGACGUCCAUGAAGGGGCGCAUCUCGUUCUGGUUCCUGCUGACGAGCCACGGCGAGGGCCUGGUCACCUUCAAGCUGUACGGCCAGCAGUGCGACAAGUGCAAGGUGGGCCGCUAUGAGCCGGCCAUGUGGUACCCGGAGGAAGUGGUCAAGGUGCUGGUAAACAUCUACAACCGGGUGGGCCAAGUUUACUACGGCUUCCAGCAGCCGCCCAUCCACAAGAACCGGCGGCCGGGAAAGCCGCGAAACCCGCACAACGCUGAACUGUGCCAGGCCUGCAAGGACGGUGUCUGCUCCGAACGGAGGUGAUUGCGACGCAGUACGAAAGGCGACUCAGCGGAGUGUUAUAUAGACCACGGCGCACGACGGGGCUCUUCGAUCACACCUGUUGCGAAACUCAAUAUUGGACCCACGGCUCAUGAACGGCGGCGCUGAUUGGACCAUAAGUUGAAAACGUAGUCGCGCAGCUGUAGUUGAGCAAGCUAUGGGCAAGCACGAUACGCAGAUGGUUGUGGUUGCGCUUAUAUUCAAAGCAUUCAAAGCGAUAAAUGUCAAUUAUAGGGCAUGCUGCUAGCCGUCAACGUAUAGGCACAAUCCGUGGCCGAAUUCUGAAGUGCGGUUUCACAAGAGCACGGGUGUUAGUGAAUAUAAUUUUGCCGAGGUUGAGAAAUUCAGACCCACGAGCGCUGGCUUUUCGAUCACAGCCAAGCCUCGGUUGCACACACGUCAACAUGCGCCACACGUGGGAGCGUUCCUAAAGAAUAUAAGCUUGCUGCAAGGCAGGUGCGCCUUUCCCUUAUCGAUAGUAUUCGUGAACAAUUUGUCAAAAACGCGCACCACACGUACGCUCACCUUCCAUAGGAGGCGUUGGACCACGACUACCACAUUUGCGCCAGACUCCUAUAAAGAUUAUGUAAAAGCCCAGUGAGGAAGACAUUUCCACAGGGAUUAACGGAAAGAAAAAAGAAAGUGCUCGAGCAGCUCUAUAAACAAUUUAAGAACGGUACAUGCGGUUAGUAAAGCAGAGCUCUGCUUUUCCUUACAGCUGUUCAAAGUGUCUCCCCAAUCAUGUUGUAACAACAAACCCAUCUCUCUUCUCACAGAAGAGUGCUGCGAAGCAGGAAUCGCCAGCAUGAAUGUAUCAAAGUGGCAAUAUGCAUAAUUACGCACCAAACCAGUUUCCUUCUUUUUCUUUUCAACCAUAUGCCAACGGUCAGAGAAUGCCGAAUUAUAUUGCCUAUUAGUUUCUCCCUGGAUAUUUGUUCUGUCUGCUGGUCACUAUAAAUGCUGUCGAGCAGGUUGCUUUAUAACUAUGCAAUUUGACAUACGUUUCCAAAGGAUGAGGCAGUUAACGUGAAGCAGGACAAAGAUCACUCAACGCCCUUUUUCAUUAACUACUGCUAAUACAACAAGGUCAAAAUAUGUUUUUGACUGGCUCCUGAUUUGGCUCGACGCAAUUGCUACAACAGGUACCAGUGCUUUCGACCCCGCUAUCAUCAGUCAAGUUUCCUGUGGGAAUCUGUUCAUAAAUGCUUGCUGGCAGGAUGCUGUCCACCAGGACUGUUCUAUGAACAUGUCGCAUAUCUUUUGUUCCUUUUUCAUUAACUACUGAUAACACGACAUGGCCAAAAAUCUGUUUUCAACUGGCUCCUGAUUUGGCUCGACGCGAUUGCUACUACAGGUACCAGUGCUUUCGACCCCACAAUCAUUGGUCAAGUUUCUUGCCGGAAUCUCUUUAUAAAUGCUUGCUAGCAGGAUGCUAUCUACCAGGACUGUUCUAUGAAUAUUUCGCACAUUUUUGUUCUUUUGAAAGAGAAAUUUCGAGUUAAUGAAAUUUGCAAUUUAAUGAAGUUUUUUGCUGCAAGUGCAAUGUCAAUGCAUUGAAGUUGGACAUUUAUAGCCAAGUAAUAUAUCAGUUUCAUCAAAAUUGGACACCUUGAUUGAUGCAGUUACAGCAUUGAUGUGUUUUUAUUGAUAGUUUAAACUUUAGGCUUUUUCUUUGUCUUUCGGCAAGUUAUGGUAAAAAAUAAGAUUGAGUGCAUAAUAAGAAACUUUCACCAAACAAUCACUAGAAUUUAACUGUCGCUAUUAAGUGCAAAAAGUUAUAUUAAAGACACGGUGGUUACCCAAAACCAACAUUAUCUAUAAACGUUGCUCAAGAUGGGCAUUUCUGCAAUUCACAAUUAUUUGAGUAGGUGGGCUCAUGCAAUGUCGCCUCUUAACAGACUUCAGGAAAUGAAAAGCCACGUGCCUUCUUAUGUUGAUGCAUUACCUCUAGUGCAUCCGACUGUGUGAAUAUGCCAAAACGAUAAACGGGAGCCAAAGCCUUUCUCACACCUGUCAGCCCUUACACCCAGUUUCCUUUUUUUGUAAAGUAAAGCUUUACUCCUGCCACACAAACACACACAAGAAAAAAGCUUGCACCUGCACUGGUGAUUAAGUGACACUAAUGGUGAAAAACUGAAAACAUCCAACUAUGGUGCUCAAGGUAGAAUGCACGCAAGUUAAAAUUACGAUUUCCCUGAGGCAUGCACUUUGCCUGCAGUCACCAUGACUUGCAGUAAAGUAGAUUGAGAGAGAGAACCUGAUUUGCUGUCCAGUACCAAGUGAGCUAAAGGGGGAUAGCAGCAACAGAAGUAAACAAAACACUGCUUGCAUUUGGACAACCCCUACCAAGCAUAACUACAGAUUUCGUAUCACAUAUUAAAAUUAGUACAACUGUCAUUAGAGUGCUCAGGAGUUUGUGCCGUCUUGAAUUUACAGUGACAGCAUAUUUCUACGCCAUAAUAUUUAGGACUAUCAUAAUGUUGUUUUCAAGCUUGAAUCUUUACCAAGGUACCGUUUCAUGCCAUACUGUAGCCAAUGGCAUUUCAUGCAGCGCAUAAAUAAUUUGAGAAAAAUGAAGGGCCAACUUGCCCAUUUGUUCUAUUUCAUAAAAAAGUAUAGCCACACAUUUCUGAGCACAAACUAGAGGGAGUGAUGCUGAAGCAAUAAAAGAAAGCAAGUUUUCAGAAAGUUGAGAGUUAAAACAAACUUUGUCAGCAAUCUCGAUACUAACAGUCUGGGUAGCAGCAGUAAUUAUAAAGAUUGUUGAGGAACAUCUCACUGUUGAGGAACAACUAGCAUUCUUACAAGUGCUUACCUCAGAUGUUUUUAUUAUGUGCUCACAGCAUGGUGGAACACUACUUUUGAGUACACCUUGCAUGAUUGUAAGCAAUUUUUGUAAAGGUAUGGGAACUAUUUUGUUUUUCCUGCCUUGCUUCAUUUUGAUGACUGCUCAACAUGCAACCUAUAGUUGUAAGCGAUAUAAUAGUGAUGUAGAAUGUUUACUGAAAGGUGAUAACGAUAAAUAAAGCAGUAAUCCCCCUGCUGCUAAUAUUCAAAGCAAAUUUCUUAAUAAUAAUUUUGAUGCAAUAGAAGACUCACUUUGUGUCCAAAGAACAUAUGUACACACUAUGCUUGCUUUUCCAGAACCGUUUCCCAAGUUUCCAAUAUGCUUAUAUUAGCACCAAUUUUGUUACUUGUUACAAGUAGUUUCUUCAUAAAACUACAUUUCUGAAUGAACAAGUGCCUGCUUGUUGUCUUUCUCAUGUUUACAACAUUACCGUAAACACUAGCGAACGCUAUUCAUGCAUGCCUUAUUACUGUGGUCAAGUGUUGAGCUGAUGCAUAACCUCAAGUAACAUGCCUACCCAUUUACGAGUGUUUAGCAAUGCACAUAGCUUUUGCCACAAAGUGCACCAGCAAUCUCAAUUGCUCUUUCUGUUCCUGACUGUGUUUACAUCAGCUGUGAUGCACCUUGUUUUUUUUUUGCUUGUUUUAUCAUAACAAUGUCGCUUGCCUGUUGUUGUUCUAUUGAUGUCAAUUGUUGAAAACUUCAAUUCCAAGUUAUGUGUACAGUAGCAUACUUGUGCAUGCUCAAAACAUACUGUGCUGUGCAAUAAACUAAUUCUGCGACA
Molecule: unclassified non-coding RNA, 4570 nt
Filed under: Dermacentor andersoni
Lineage: Eukaryota; Metazoa; Arthropoda; Arachnida; Ixodida; Ixodidae
Description: receptor-transporting protein 4-like
Source: RNAcentral